RNAcentral lists this ribosomal RNA (254 nucleotides) under uncultured bacterium. Its description in RNAcentral is "partial 16S ribosomal RNA". It matches the Rfam family "Bacterial small subunit ribosomal RNA", at positions 524 to 776 of the family's 1533-position model. The record is from RNAcentral.
GACGUAGGUGGCGAACGUUAUCCGGAAUUAUUGGGCGUAAAGGAUGCGUAGAUGGUAGAAUAAGUUACUGGUCGAUGCCAAACUCAAUUUGGCGGAAGCCGAUAAUACUGUUCUACUCGAGGGCAGGAGAGGUUGUUGGAAUUCUGUGUGGAGCGGUGAAAUGCGUUGAUCUACAGAGGAACACCAAAAAAGGCGAAGGCAAUCAACUAUUCUGUUCCUGACAUUGAGGCAUGAAAGCGUGGGGAGCAAACCGG